This 58-nucleotide ribosomal RNA is filed under the name uncultured Termitomyces. RNAcentral's name for it is "partial 28S ribosomal RNA". It matches the Rfam family "Eukaryotic large subunit ribosomal RNA", at positions 1 to 57 of the family's 3401-position model. Lineage: Eukaryota; Fungi; Basidiomycota; Agaricomycetes; Agaricales; Lyophyllaceae. The record is from RNAcentral.
UUGACCUUAAAUCAGGUAGGACUACCCGCUGAACUUAAGCAUAUCAAUAAGCGGAGGA